GAAUCAUUCACAAUGGGGGAAACCCUGAUGAUGCAACGCCGCGUGAGGGAUGAAGGCCUUCGGGUCGUAAACCUCUGUCACCAAGGAGCAAAAAGCAUGUUCAUAGCCUGCCCUGAGUUAACUUGGAGAGGAAGCAGUGGCUAACUCCGUGCCAGCCGCCGCGGUAAUACGGAGACUGCAAGCGUUACCCGGAUUCACUGGGCGUAAAGGGUGCGUAGGCCGCUAAGCGUGUCAGGUGUGAAAUCUCGGGGCUUAACCUCGAAACUGCGCCUGAAACUGUUUAGCUUGAGUAUUGGAGAGGUAAGCGGAAUUUCUGGUGUAGCGGUGAAAUGCGUAGAUAUCAGAAGGAACACCAAUGGCGAAGGCAGCUUACUGGACAAUAACUGACGCUGAGGCACGAAAGCGUGGGUAGCGAAAGGG
RNAcentral lists this ribosomal RNA (420 nucleotides) under uncultured bacterium. Its description in RNAcentral is "bacterial SSU rRNA". It matches the Rfam family "Bacterial small subunit ribosomal RNA", at positions 359 to 776 of the family's 1533-position model. The record is from RNAcentral.